AUCCAAUUAACUUUAUAUAAGAAAACAAAUAUAUGUACAAUUGCAAUUAUAACAUAAGAAGAAGUGAACAAUAAAUGAUCAAACUGGCCACUUACUUACCUAUACUGUUACAAAUGAAUUUCAAGUAAGGGGUCAUCAAUAAUUGUCAACCAUUUUCCAAAGUGUAAAAAGCAUACAAUUAGAGGGAGGGGGGUAAAAAAAUCAACAUUUUCACAGAAAUCUUUUUUUUUUAUUUCCGGAUUUUUUUCAUUUCCACAGGGUUCACUCAUUGAUGUCAUCAAAUAAAUAGUUUGAUAUGUUUCAUGUUAUUUUUAAUGCAAAUUUCUGUAUUAUAAACUAAACUUUAAUAGACAGGAUCUUCUUUUUAUGAACAAUGAUUGAUUCUUGUCUUGAAAUAUGACAAUUGGUUGAUGUACACUUUAUGAGGGAGGGGGUCUGAAAAAGUGUAUGUUUUGUACACUUUGGAAAAUGGUUGACAAUUCUGGAUGACCCUUAAGUUUUACAAGUGAAAAUCAUGAGAAAAUCUUAACGAAAAAUAUAAUUUGCUAAAACUUUCAACACAAUAGAAAAGAAAUAUUGUUGAUGCUAUGUUUUAACGCUUUUAACACUUUCCAAAUAAGUCCAAGUACACUGAAAUUCUAUAAACUAAUUCUGGUGUCCUAGGACUUUAUAUUUUCAUUCAAAAGAUGUAUUCAGUAUCUGAUCAUUUAUCUUGUUUUUAAUUUACAUAAAAAUACAAAAACAUCAACUUCAAUUUACACAAUUUUGCUUCAUAAUUCUUGGGUUGUUUUUUUUUAACUUGUUAAAAAUGGAUAAAUGAUAGCACCAUCAUAACAUUAGCCCCUUUUCAAGCUAUUCACACAUUUGGAUAAAAACCCUAUAAUACAUUUUUGUCAAAACCUAAGAUUUUCA
This 912-nucleotide long non-coding RNA is filed under the name Mytilus galloprovincialis (Mediterranean mussel). Lineage: Eukaryota; Metazoa; Mollusca; Bivalvia; Mytilida; Mytilidae. The record is from RNAcentral.